Long non-coding RNA from Syngnathus acus (greater pipefish), 1836 nucleotides. RefSeq lists it as uncharacterized. The transcript is spliced from 2 exons. NCBI's taxonomy places the organism in Eukaryota, Metazoa, Chordata, Actinopteri, Syngnathiformes, Syngnathidae. The record is from RefSeq and is a predicted model, not a curated record.
ACUCUGGGGGCAAAAAGAAAAGACAAAUGUCAAUCAAAACACAUUCCAAUGAUCCAACGUGAGGUUUUGUCUUGACAAGCUAGGCAUACACAAAGAAAAAUGCAAAGAUUAGACAGCAAGACUAAAUGGUCUAGCCAUAGCAGUCACCGGAGCCACCAGUCAGAUGGGAUAGGCUCCACUCAUCCACAAAGCCUAAGGAGGGCAAGCACUACAGAAAAUGGAUGGCCGACAUUUACACAAAAAGUGCUUGUGAUGAUCACGUGUGAUAUAAAAAGGCCACAAGUGAGAGAAAGCGCCUCGGAUUGAAGCCUGAUAGAAAAUUGACUGAAACCUUGGCUUGAUUAAUGAGCUCCGGAACAGAUGGUUUAUCACAGAUCUGGCAAAAGCAAUACGCCCGUGUCCCAUAACAGGUAAAUUAAUUACACAAAUUAAUGAAGUUCAACGCGGGCUCAACAGUGUGUUUCAAUGGGGAAAAAAAUGAGCGGGGAAUGCGGGAAGGCCACCCACGACAUUGCAAGCGCGAGCAUUCGUCAUAAGAGCACAAAUCCUUGCGUGCCGGCCGUGUGAUGAACGACUUCACCCGAGUCGACUCAUUGAGAAGGCUCUCAAUGGAAGUAGCUCAAAUUGCUUUGUGCAUUUCCGCCAUAUUGUACUAGUCUGCUCAUUUGUCCAAGGGACUAGUAGCACUCACAAAACAGCGCACUGGGAGGGACUGGUGUCAGUUUCCUACAAGAAAACAGCUCUCACUAUUAUGUUGGUUAAAUUGAGGGCACUUUGCUGAGUGUAUUUCUUUUUCCCCCCUUGCCCAAGUCAUACUUGAUUUCCUUUUACGGUAAAAAAACAAGGUCAAAGUCAUCCACAAACAUUGAAUCAAGGCAGCUAGACUAGUUUGUUGGAUUUGUUGUGUUUUUUCUUGUUUUGGGCAAUUAUUAUCAGCGUAACAAAUGAUUUGCUGUAAUUAGAUACAUUUUAUAGACUGUCAACAGUUGGCGAUAAGCGAGUUUGCCGAGCAGUGUGAGAAAUAGAUACGCACUGCGGUUUUCAAUGAUUGUUCUUUUAUACUAAGACAUUUUCCAAACCAAUGUGACUCUGGGGGUGGCGUUAUAAGUUGUGAAGUAUACAAAACACGCCUUGUGGGACUUCCAGUGUAAUCAUAAACUAGACGUCAACACUUCCUGUUUAGCUCAAAGUCCAGACUGAGACCAACCAGCGGACAGGUAGCCUGAGGAAAAAAAAGAAAGCAAAUAUCCACGCAUUUGAGGAUGACAUCACAGGAGUUUUGUGCAGGUGCAUAAACAAAAUGGAGGUAGGUCACUGAACCCUCAUCCUCCCCCUGCCGAAAACCUAAAAGGCAAACGUCUCGCGGGGCCUGCUGCUAUGGCCACCCUGCUCUGAGCAACCAAGCACAGUCUUCCCCCCCCACCUCGAUCGACACGGGCGAAACGGAUGGCGAACUGAAGCCUGCAGAGCAAAGGAGGGGGAAGGGGGGGUCGUCCAAAUGGCACAGCGCAACCUGAAGGCUGGCUAAACGCAUUCCCCGCCUUCCAAAGUCAUUCAUCUGUGGACAUUCAAGCGAAGCAGGAAGAACAGUGAGCCGCAAUCAGCCCGAACACUCCCCAGGGGAGUUUGGGAAGGGAAUGCUCAGCUCCCGACUAUGAAAUGCUGCCAAGCCUCGGCCGGCUACUAAUGGCAACAUCACAAUGCAGACCUCUCUCUCUGUACGACACAUCACAAGAUCUGUGCAGCACUGUGACAAAAAAAAAAAAAGAAAGGUAGAAAAAAAGGGCGGGGGGGAAAAAAAUGAGGGUCGACAUUCUGCAUUUGAACGCCCGCUGA